RNAcentral lists this ribosomal RNA (373 nucleotides) under uncultured bacterium. Its description in RNAcentral is "bacterial SSU rRNA". It matches the Rfam family "Bacterial small subunit ribosomal RNA", at positions 525 to 896 of the family's 1533-position model. The record is from RNAcentral.
ACGUAGGGUCCAAGCGUUAUCCGGAAUCACUGGGCGUAAAGCGUGCGUAGGUGGCGUGUUAAGUGUGAUGUUAAAUCGUGGGGCUCAACCCUGUCGGUGCAUCACAUACUGGCAUGCUAGAGGGAAGCAGAGGCAAGUGGAAUUGGUAGUGUAGCAGUGAAAUGCGUAGAUAUUACCAGGAACACCAAUGGCGAAGGCAGCUUGCUGGGCUUCUUCUGACACUGAGGUACGAAAGCGUGGGGAGCGAACAGGAUUAGAUACCCUGGUAGUCCACGCCGUAAACGAUGCAUACUAGUCUUAUGGGGUAUCGACCCCCUGUGAGACGCAGCUAACGCGAUAAGUAUGCCGCCUGGGAAGUACGGCCGCAAGGCUA